Amaranthus tricolor (Joseph's coat) is the source of this 2598-nucleotide long non-coding RNA. RefSeq lists it as uncharacterized. The transcript is spliced from 3 exons. The record is from RefSeq and is a predicted model, not a curated record. Lineage: Eukaryota; Viridiplantae; Streptophyta; Magnoliopsida; Caryophyllales; Amaranthaceae.
GAGAAUACUAUAAUCUUAUAUGGUAUCAGGCCCUAGUACUCUAUUUCUAAACCUAUCUUAUUACUAAACCCUAAGUGUUGUGUCUUAUACCACCAUUUUCUUAGUGUCGCCUACCAUUUUUUUCCUCACAGAAAUCAUCAAUUUCCUUCCUCUAAACCUUUAUCAUCACCAUUUCAUAUUCCUAUCAUUAAUACUCUUCUAAUCUUACCAUUCCCAUGCUCACAAUAGCCACUAUCCCUAUUUUUUUUCCUAACCCUUCACAACUUCUCAUUCUAGUAUUAUAUCCCUAUUGUUUAAUUAAACCGUAUAUCAUCCUCACAUUAAGCAUGACAGAUUCCCCUACAUCUUUCAAUACUCAUGGUACUUUUACCUCCCAGUCUUCUUAUUCUUCCUCUAUACAUCCAGCUUUAACUGUAACUAAUGUCAAAAAUCUUAUCCCUCUUGUUCUUGACAUUGACAAAGUAGAGUACUCUCCUUGGGCAACACUCUUCCGCAACACCGCUAAGGUUCACCGUGUUUUGGAUCAUAUUGAUUCAUCGUUUCCGAAACCAAAUAUUCUUGAUGAUGUUUGGGAACAAUUAGAUGCGAUCGUUUUCCAAUGGAUUUAUAGCACCAUCUCUACUCCUUUAUUGUUGAAAAUUCUUGAUGAGAAAGCUACUGCCAUGGCUGCUUGGAUACGUCUGCGUUUCAUUUUUCAAACUCGAAUUGUUCAUCUUGAAAAUUAGUUUGGGUCCAUUGAGCUAGCUCAGUUUUCCUCAUUUUCUGAAUAUUAUCCAGUUAUUCAAUCCAUCUCGAUGCAAUUAUCUGUUCUUGGUCACCCAAUUUCUAAUGGGAGGUUAGUUUUACAACUUGUGGGUCGUCUAAAUCAUAAAGAUUAUAAGGUUGUGGCUGCUCUUAUUCAACAAACUGAUCCAAUUCCAUCCUUUGAUAAAGCAUCUUCUAUGCUUGAGUUAGAUCGAGUCAGUUGAGAAGCUAAUGAAAUAAUUUCGUAGGAAAUUCCGUUCUAGUAACCAAAAGUCAACCCACUCUGGAAGAUAAAAUUAAUUCAAGUCUACCCCAAUUAUCAACCAAAUGGGAGUAGGCAAUCUGGUUAUGCUUUUUCUCGUGGAUGAUGCCGUAGCCGUGGUGGCAAUGGUCGUGGUAGAGGACAUCAUUUUCCUUCUUCUGGUUCACGCAAUUAUGGAUGGGUCUCUAGAAAUAAUGGUCCCCCUUCUUGGUUGAUCGACUUCAAGUCUUUUUAGGCUCGGCCAGGUGCACCAUUAAAUAAUUGGACCCAACAACCAUCAAUUCCGCCUUGUCCUCAUCCAUCUCAAGGUUCAUAUAAUUCAUCUCCGCAGGGCCAUUUUAUUUCUAACCCAUCUCAGCAGGGUAUACUUGGACCACGACCCUCGGGACAGCCUCAAGUUCAAUCCCCGGAUCCUAAUUGGUACUUGGAUACUGGUACUAUGCCCCAUUUGAUGAACAACUCAGGAUCUUUGAACGGGAGCUAGUUUGAUGAGGUGCAAUAGUGAGGGUCCACUCUACUCCGUCUCUUCCAUCUCCUCUCCUACUUCUUCCUCAACAUUUGCAGUUCUCUCUCCAAAAGUUUGGCACAAUCAUUUGGGGCAUCCCGCGAAUUAAUUCUUAACUUUCUUGGGCACCAUAAAUUUAUGGGAUAUUAUCAAUGGUACCCAUGCACUAUAGCAAAAUAACAAUGGUACCCCAGUGUAUUUCAAUGGUACCCCCAAAGUAUAUGCUAAUUACAACCGUGACACUAUUAAUGAUUUUUCCGUUAAAUGUCCGUUAAAAUUUGAAUUUAACCUAACCAUGAAAAGAGCGAAUUGAUGGAAUUUCCAUCGCCGGAGAAAACAUUGUUGAUGGCAUGAAUUGAAUUUAGACAGAAAUAAAAGCUUAAAAAAGGCUGAACCAGGAGAAGGAGAAACACAAUGAUGUUCCAAAGGUAGGACCCACAAAAACCACUGACCCACUCACAAUGUAACCGAAGAUCUUGUGAGCAGAAAUCGACUCGAUGAUGGCUUAUUUAGAUUGUAAAUUGUGUUAGGAACUUGUAUAAUAUACACCCUUGUGUAAUGGCUUUAGGUUUUUCUAAUUUGAAGAAAUUCUUCUAUCAAGUUUGACUAAUUUUAUUACCUUUUGUUGUUGUUUAAUUUUGAAGAACCGUGAUGCAUUUAUCGUUUGUCAGGUUUGAAGAAUUUGUUCUUCAAUUUAUUUGGGUUUUUUAAUUUGAAGAAUUUCUUGUUCAAUUUAUUUUGGUUUUUUUAAUUUGAAGAAUUUCUUCUAUCAAGUUUAACUAAUUUUAUUGCCUUCUGUUGUUCUUUAAAUUUGCAAAACCGUGAAUUUGGGUUUUCAUCAACCAAAUAGAAUACAAACACCCUCAACCUCAGAUAUACUUUUCCCUCUUUUUAAAGGUAAUGUUUAAGUAAUUUUGCUCAAAGUUCAGUAAAAUCCAAACCAGAGAAUUGCUUGCAUAUAAAGGAAUACCCUGAAUGGAAAAUCAGCACAAUUUGAGUUGUUAUCUUUGUUAUCACUUCAAAAACAAACAAAUUGGAAUACAGUAGGACCAGUAGUACUUCACCCACUAACCAAAUUGUGAAAAUC